Molecule: ribosomal RNA, 253 nt
Filed under: uncultured bacterium
Lineage: Bacteria
Description: partial 16S ribosomal RNA
Rfam family: Bacterial small subunit ribosomal RNA
Source: RNAcentral
UACGUAGGGGGCAAGCGUUGUCCGGAUUUAUUGGGCGUAAAGAGCGUGUAGGCGGCUUUACAGGUCCGUUGUGAAAACUCGAGGCUUAACCUCGAGACGUCGAUGGAAACCAUCUGGCUAGAGUCCGGAAGAGGAGAGUGGAAUUCCUGGUGUAGCGGUGAAAUGCGCAGAUAUCAGGAAGAACACCCGUGGCGAAGGCGGCUCUCUGGGACGUGACUGACGCUGAGACGCGAAAGCGUGGGGAGCAAACAGG